UGGGAAAGGGUGAGACAUGGCACAGGUGUCUUGAAGACCUUUAGAUUUGUCUCCUAUUUUGCGCUCUAUCAAAGGGAUAUACCACAUGUCACCACAGCUCAGUUAGCACUGCUUUAAACUGCAUGUUGGGAUUUUAAAACAGCCUUAAGAAAGGUAAACGAAAGCAGCAGACAAUGAAGAACUAGACAGCCACUCUCUCCCUACACUGACUUAUCUCUCGCCUCUGAUGGAUUUGUUCUGAGACAGAACACUACUCCCAGUGGACUACAGCCAUUUGAUUAAAUAUUUUGU
Phasianus colchicus (ring-necked pheasant) is the source of this 291-nucleotide long non-coding RNA. RefSeq lists it as uncharacterized. The record is from RefSeq and is a predicted model, not a curated record. NCBI's taxonomy places the organism in Eukaryota, Metazoa, Chordata, Aves, Galliformes, Phasianidae.